Molecule: long non-coding RNA, 1297 nt
Organism: Acanthopagrus latus (yellowfin seabream)
Lineage: Eukaryota; Metazoa; Chordata; Actinopteri; Spariformes; Sparidae
Exons: 4
Source: RefSeq, a predicted model, not a curated record
UAUUUUUAAAUAUAUAUUAUUAUAACAUUUCUAAACCAAGCUAGUUGUGUCUGCUUGGUUUUCAGUUUUUAAGCCAAGUUAGCUUGAAUCAUUUGGCUGUACCUGAGCCAUGCACUGCUAUAUUACGUCAUAAUUCAUUGCGAGCCAUGAGAGACAAAUCUGAUACAACUCUUUUAAAAAGAGCCAAUAAGUGUAUUUCCCAAAAAUGUUAAACUGUCCUUUUAACAACAACAACAACAAAUUUAAAGGGGAAGCUGUUAGGAAAGUUAACUAUUUGACCACUCAGGGUCAAACUACUACGCUAACGGUCGAUUAGCUUAGCAUAAAGACAGCUAGACGUUAUAAUGGGUCUGUCUAUUUCUUGGAUAAGCUAACGUUCGUCCCCUGGCCGGAGUCUUGUUGGUUACCUAGCAACAGCUCGAAGUCCUGAAAGGUCACCAAAUAAGAAAAGAAAAAAUCCUGAAAUGUUGUUGCUAGCUACACUUUGUUUUAUAACGUGAAAUUUGAGGUGUAAUUGGUUAUUUAGUGAGUUUUAGGGGUGCUGAUACAUGUGGACUGAGUUUCAAUCGGGCAGAGCCAAACUAGCUGUUUUGGUUUCGAGUUUUUAUGCUAAGCUAGCUUAAUCUCUUGGCUGUCUGUUAGCCUUCUCGUGCCCAUCCAUGGACACCCGUGAGAGUCAUAUAUUAUUAUCUGAUGCAACUUUCUGCAAGAAAAGCAAUAACCGGAGGUGUGUGUGGUGGUUGAGUCGUUCGGUAAGGAGCCUCGGCGCGGCGUGUGUGCGCGACAGAGCAGCAGCAGCCGGAGCUCCGGGGAGACGCUGCUGGAGAAGGCGGAGUAGAUCCAGGGGUUGGUGCAGGAGUUCAGACUGGCCAGCAGCAUCAGCAAGGAGAUAUGCUGCCUUGCUUUGAGGCUCCAGAAACUUCAGCCGACUUUCCAUCGUCUUCAGGUGAGAAUAGGACGUACCCGAGUCUCGGUGAUCGUGGAGAGGAUGGCUCUGCGGAUCAUGCUGGCGUAGGCGUGGAGUUUUAGGUGAUCCAGCAGCAAGCAGGAUGCCAGCAGCAUGGCCGUGGGGUUUGCUGUGUUACGGUUAGCGAUGCUCUUACCGGUGUUCCUGGUGCCCUGCGCAUAGAGGAACAUGUUGACUUUAUAAACAGAGGUACAUGUCACAGCAUUUAUAUCUGGUUAUUCAAAAAAUGACUGCAGCACUGAUGUGCUACUGCUAAACUCUGAGGAAGGAAAUACUUUUUCUACUCAUUCAAGUUUGCAUAUUUAUACCGAAGGAGUGAAGGGAAAAAUA